RNAcentral lists this long non-coding RNA (1164 nucleotides) under Homo sapiens (human). Its description in RNAcentral is "HSALNT0395615". Lineage: Eukaryota; Metazoa; Chordata; Mammalia; Primates; Hominidae. The record is from RNAcentral.
GGAUGCAGCUUGGGAUCCCGGCCUCGCCACCGCCUGGUCGCGCGACACAGGCUGAACCCUGCCCAACCCUAAGGUGGACAACAGGCCACCGGUUCCCGAGUCCUCCCGGUCCUAAGCCUUCUGCCCUAGAGAUCGUAGGAACUCUUCUCGUGAUCCCAGCUCCAGUGUCGGCUCCCUCUUCCAGGGGAGACCCUCGGGGCCCAAGCACCUGCCACCGCCCUCUGCUGGACCCCAGCUUCGCCAUCUACGAAGGAAGCGGCCUGUCCGAGCUCUGAGGUCCGUCAAGCGCGGCACCUCAGGACCCAGAGUGCGCUGUCCUGGCCCCUCUGCAGUAGGACUGACGGGAAGCUGUCGAGGGGGCAGUCCCGCGAUGGCAGCAGGGCCCCCACGCCUGGCGUCCUCAUCGCGCCCACCCAGCAGGGCUCACCAGCCUCCCUAGGAAGCAGGCAGGGGUCCUGGGCUCAAACGCUGCCCCACCCAUCAUCGCCCAGGCAACCAGCUCCCUAAGGGCUCCCCGGACUAGACAGAGACCCACCCCACUUCCGCAGAGUAAAACCUAUAAGGGGGUCCGUGCCGAUCUCUCCUAGGGACUCAGGGACGAAACCUGGGAACCCCGGCCCCCUUUCGAGCUCGCUGAGCGCUCGAGAGAGUGAGCAGAGCCAUGAAAGGAAGGAGAGCAGCCCUAAAAUUUUAAAUCUUUAAUUUCCGUUUUCACGUAUUUUCUUCUUGCUUCCAAAAGGAAAGGAGUGCGUAGCUCUGUUGCCUGUACAUCGUCCACAGCCCCUGGGUCGGGGCGGGGUCCCCUGGGCCGCCCGGGGGGUCCACAUGCAGCCCCUGGGUGGGGGCCGGCGCGGGGUGAGGUCCGGGGGCCGCCUUAUUGCUGAGGUCCGGCCGGUUGGGGCCGCCGCUAGGCGCGCUGGCUGGGCAGCUCCUGGGAGAUGAAGCGACGCAGGCGCUCCAGGUACUGGCUGUAGAGCUCGAUGUCGUUGUGCCCGGCGCCCUCCACCCACAGCGGCUCCACCGCCUUGGGGCAGCGCUCGUAGAGCGCCAGCCCGUGCGAGAAGUCGAUCACCUCGUCCUCCGUGCCGUGGAUGAUGAGCACGGGAGACGUGAUCUUGGACACCUUCUCGAUGCUGCGGGAGGGUCGUGGAGCCGGUGAGACUU